Molecule: non-coding RNA, 7140 nt
Organism: Taeniopygia guttata (zebra finch)
Lineage: Eukaryota; Metazoa; Chordata; Aves; Passeriformes; Estrildidae
Source: RefSeq, a predicted model, not a curated record
GGGGGUGGAAGAUCUGUAUGAAAAAAAUGUGGAUCUGAAAAUGACCCUUUCCAGGAUGAUAAAAUACUGGGCUACAAAGACCAGGAAGCUCAGUGAGAACUUUACACAUGCAGAGAGACCAUUUGCUUUAGAGGACAGUGCUGACUACAAAAAAAAGAGUAUGAACAUCCUAGCAACUUGAUUAAACUCUCAUUUUAAGUUGGCUCUGUCUUCCUCUAUUACAUUAGGGUUGCGGUUUGGAGACAGGCACAUGACAGAACACACUGAGAUCAUGCAACAAGAGCUACGGUUAAUCCAUGGAUGCCUCUUUUUAUAGGGGGUUCAAAAUUCUCACACUUGAACAACCGGUUAGUGGGGGACUCAGCGCUACCCAGCUCACUGGCCAGUGAUGUGUCUGCAAUCUGUGUUGAAUGGGAUUGGCUGGGGUUCCUUGUUUGGUUUCAAAUCCAACCUAUCAUUGCCUCACCUGGGGACUGGUUUAAUUUUAUUCUAGAAUGACCUAGGCUAGCCGAAUUGGGUUCAGUUAUGGCCAGAUUUAUCUGUGCAGCUUCAGACCUGCUGCAGCUGCGACAAUUUCCCCUUUCUGUUUUAAUAAAUGCAAAGUGUUCUUUGUUAUCCUCUGCAGGUGUCUUUUGCAGAUAGAAUGACAAAGACAGAAUGAAUCUAGUUCAACUAAGACUUUUACCCAACUUAACACGUCUAGUAUCCAGGCAGUGAUGGUAUCCCAUGUAUCAUUGGAGUUGUAACAUCCACAUCCAGGAGCUGUCAGGCGAGGUUACCAGUAAUACAGUCUUUCAGCCUAGCAUGCCUCAGGUUCAUUAUUUAGAAGUUACAAAUUACGCUUUAACACAACAAACAAGAAACAUUUCAACUCAAAACCAUCUCAAUUAAAAGCUUACAUCCUUCUGCCACUGAUAUCUCUCUUUGGGUCUUGGGGUUUGAGUAGGAUGAUGGGUAGAUUUUCUUACCAUUGACAGUCUUUUACCUCUGACAAGCUGUUGGCUUCCUAGGUUAGUUGGGACUUGAUUGAAAAACAUGAGAACAUGACAUUACCCAAAACUUUUGAGGGGGAUACACAUCCACUCCCCUUUUCUGUGUUUUAACAUUAACAGGAACAUAAUUCAAUCCUAACAAAACAUGCACUUUUGAAUGAAAUUAACAAGGUGAAACUUAUAUUCUUUGCUAUCAUCACCCAGGGUCUGCCAAGGAGGCUUCUUUUCACAGUGAGGACUUUAGAGAGCCUUUUCCGGAUAAGGCUCUACUACAAGGGAAAGGGGUCCAGCUUCUGCAAAGCCAAAUCAGCCAGUCAAAGUGACUUGCUUUCAAUUUUAGCACAGAAACAUCUGGGUUUUAUGGCAUACUUUUCCUGCCAGUCAAGGCCAUAGCUUGGCCAGAGCUAAGACCCAGACUGGGAGGGCUUCCCUAUCUCCAGCCACUCACCUCUACACAGCUCCAGCUGAGGCAGCAUAGUGUGGGGUGGUGUGAGUUCUUUUGUGAUACUGUCAGGGUCCCCUCUAGGAUAAAUUGGAUCAGGGGACCAGGGGCCAUUUUCUGGUUCUCCUCCCACAGCUCUGGCAAAUGUAUGGCUGUCCAUUGGCAGCCAGGUCUCCCAGCCUCUUGGGCACUGACUGCGGCACUGACUGCCUUCAUGUUUCUUGGGCUUCUCCAGCCCUGGCUCUGUUAUGGUACCGCGUUCCAUGGUUCUGGGUUUCAGCAGCCUUUCACUGGUGCUUCUGGGUUUUGGCGCUUGCAGCUCUGCACUGGCCUUGAUGGUCUUCCAACCAUCCCAGCGAGUUUGGAACAAGCCUCCAGGGCUUUAUAAUGUCCAUAGUGGCUUCUAAAGCCGGUUCCACAAGCCUCUAGGGCAUUAUAAUGGCCAUAGUGGCCUCCAGAGCCUGUUGCUCAUGCUUUACUCCCCAUUUAGGUAAAAAGAGGGUCCAAACCUUAGCGACUUGGUUUUCUUCCAGCAAAACACAUCCUUCCAUAUUUCUUGGCACCAUUUUUCUAUAUACAGGGGUAUUUACAAAAGGGGUUGAGACUUUGGCCAGCUCUUCACACCUUGGUUGGCUCUCCACACUGUAUUUUGGCAGCUAUUUUGCUGCAGGCAGCUCUCCACACUCACCCUUGUUUCCCCUGCUCUACACAUGAAUGGCAGUGUCAACCACAUCAGGUUUACUAUGUUAGGGUCACAGUUUGGUGACAGGCACACAACUGAACACACUGAAAUCAUGCAACAACAGCUACGGUUUAUCCAUGGAUGCUUCCUUUUAUAGGGGGCUCAAAAUUCUCAUGCUUGAACAACUGGUUAGUGGGGGACUCAGCACCGCCCAGCUCACUGGCCAGUGAUGUGUCUGCAUUCUGUGUUGAAUGGGAUUGGCUAGGGUUCCUUGUUUGGUUUCAAAUCCAACCUAUCAUUGCCUCACCUGGGGACUUGUUUAAUGUUAUUCUAGAAUGACCUAGGCUAGCCGAAUUGGGUUCAGUUAUGGCCAGAUUUAUCUGUGCAGUUUCGGAUCUGCUGCAGCUGUGACAUUCCUCAAAGAUGAAGCCUUUUAGCUAGAUAAGCAAGAUGAAACUUUGCUUGCUCUACUGCAAGAAUUAGUUGCCUCCUACACAUUAAUGGGUUAAGAGUUUGUCCUUUGCAUGUCAACUAAUUUUAUUUUACACACCAUGCUGGUACUGCUACUGCAUCCAUGUGAAUCCUUAUUUUGCCAAGAAAUUCAUUGCCCUUUUAGUAGUUGAAUGUUGAUGACAGGCAAAAUUAUUCCCCUCCUAUUGCAUGUGCUAUUGUGUAGUGCUUGGAGCAGUUAUGCCAAGGGUAUAUACAUCUUUGUUUUCAGUAACAUUCUUAAUUCAGAAACAAAAUGCAACUGCAACUUAGAUUUUAUGUCAUCUUUUUUGGUGUUCUCUUUUCUGAGAAAAUAAGGAAAAUGGCUCUACAACUGCUCCAUGGACAAUAGUAUUUUAACAUAAUGGUAACAGCUGGGUUGUGGUGUCCAGUUCUUCUCAAUUUCAGGUUUCUGCCUUGUAGCAUUCAGUGCUCCAUUCAUACUGAAUGCAUGCUGCAAGAUGAACUAUUUUGUAAUAAAUCUAUUUUAACUACACAUUUCAGGCAUAAUUUUUAUUUUCUGAGGCUAAUGUGAGGCUAAUUCAACAUUUUGCUGGUGUGGGGCAUUAUGGGUUGGACUUCAGAUGCACAGAUGGAUUCUCCUUUAGACUCCCUACUCCAGUUGCAGCUGGGAGUGUCAAUUUGUAGGCUGUUACUGUGAAGACAACAGUCACAACAUUUUACUAAUGUAAGCUGAAAAAAUCUGGGGGGUUUUACCUUGAAAUUAGAAUGCAAUGGGGCAUCCAAACUCAUUGUGGUAUGAGUGCACAAGAGUUAGUGGUGUUUAUUGAUCAAAAAGAUAGUGAAAAACUAUUGAAAGUAAUAAUUUUUAAAGGUGAUCUGCAUAUUAAAAGGGAGACUGUAGUUGACAGCAAACUCUAGGAUGAGAUAAAGCUGUGUUGGAGCAGGACAUUUAAUCCUUAAAAGCAUUCAGUGAACUUAGAGAACAGAAGCCUUAAGGACUUCAAAAUGAUGCGUCUGGGACUGAUAAAUUGCUCAAGUGUGGCAUAGUUUAUAUGCCAGCCUAUUACCAGUCUCAAAUACUGUUAAUUUUGUAAAAUCAUAUAGAGUGCUAUGCAAAUACCUGACUUAUAAUUGUCUAAAAGACUACCCUGGAAAGAAGGAAUUUCCUUAUUAAGCAGGGAAGUGUAAAUAUUGAUUGUUUGUGUGUUGGUAGUUUGGUUUUUUUAUUUUUUUCAAGACAGCUGAAUUUUCUUACUCUGCAUACACAAGCAGUAAUAUUGGAAGGUAGACACUUGCUAUUUUGAUUAACUAUUUUUCAGUUUGUCAGAGGUAGUGCCAAUUCUUGAGGAUACAUUUGUUUUUUCUGUUUGGAAUUAUUAGUUCCUGUAUGAAUAGUGACAUCAGAACCCUGAGUUCACUCAAAAGUGCAGAUUGUGACAGACACUUGGCUUUGGUAUUGUUAGACUUUGGAUGGUGCAGUCAAUAAAAGGAGCCUUGGAAUAGUCAUGGACCACUUUCCUCAAUAUUUCCCUGUGUCUUCCAGGGACACUUUGGGGUUAUUUGGAUAUUUGGAUUAUUUGGAUAUUAUUUUGUUAUUUGGAUAUUUUCUACUGUCAAAUCCACAGUGGAUGGUAAUGAUUAUGUUGAUGUGCUGAUAAAACAGAUGGCUGCAUCUUCUUACAUGUUUUCUGACAUUUAAGUGAUAAAAAUGCUUCUUUGUAUUGUUACCUUGGCAAUGCAGUAAUAGCUCUAAUAAUAGCUCUAAUAGUGAUGGCCUGCUGUUGAAGAUAGCAGCUACUUCUGUAAUUAUUAGAUUGGAAUUUCUUUAGAAUCCUGGGCAAAACUGACCUUUCUGUAACCUUAAAAUUAGUAGAUGAUUUAGGCAUUUGGGACAGGGCAUGCCUGGACUUCUGAAAUUACUUGCAGCUCUUUGAAGUGGUUGGCAUUUCAGGAUUUUUACUCUGUUAUAAUUUGCAAUAUCUUGUGUAGACUGCAGGUAUUGCCCUCAGACUGUAAUAGGUUGAAACUGGCCACAUGCCAGUACACCCAUGAAAAUAAUUAUUCAUUUUCCUCUGCUAUAGUUAAGCAGAGGAGGGGGAAAGAAAAUUCAUGGGGUGAGAUAAGGAUUAGGACAAAAAACAUUUUAAGGGAAAACAGCCUUAAAAUUUUAAAAGGUAUAAAGUAAAAUCUAUUAAGAGACUUAAAAGAGGAUGAUGAGAACUAAAAAGUAAACAGUUCAAACACUUUAUCCUCCCCUCCCAGCCCUUCUGUCCUUCCCACUGACAGCACAGGGAGACAAAACAUAGGAUUUUUAGUUAGUCUAAAAGUCUUUCUUCAGUUUACUUAGGGAGAGGAGUCCCUUGCUAUGCUGUGGGGUCUUUCCUACAGGAAACAGUUCUCUGUGAACUUUUCCAACAUGGUUUUAUUUUCACAGCAAACAGUCUGCCUGGAACCUGCUUGCAAUGUGAAGUUCCUCCUACGGGCAAGCAGUCUUCACACAACUGCUUUUUGUGGCCAUUUAGCUUAUGGGGUGCAGUUUUUAAGGAUAAGUUGUUCUAGUAUAAAAGCAAGGGUCCUUUUCCUCUAUUUCUGAAAGCAAGGGCUUUCAUUCUCUCUGUUCAAACUUCUCACCCAAACACAGCUUUUCAACAUCCACAUGCUCCAGCACGAGUGUCUUUUUCUCAUGGGCUGUGGGUGAAUGCUCAUCCUCACAUGCACUUCAUUAAUUAUAGGGAAACAGUUUAUUGUAUUACAGUCCUCACCAUAGCUUGCAGAAGAAUUUCCGCUUUGAGGUCCAGAGCACCUCCUCCUCCCCUUCCCUCUUUUGCACCAACCUUGGUGUCACCAUGUUGUUCUCAUCACGUGUCUUCACCUUUUCCUUUUCUCUGACUCGGGAGAGAAUUGGUGUCUGUAGGUUCAUUUGUUCUCAAAUUGUAUCAGUUGAAAUGUUUUUAUAGAGUUCUGCAGUGCUGAAAGGUUGAUCUUGUCCAGGCCCUGCAACUGGGAAAUCUCUUGCCAUGCUUUUCUCUAUGUUGGACAUGUGGUCUCUGCCAGCACUGCACAAGCUGCACUGGCUGCCAGCUCCACUCCGUGCCUUUUCGUCAUGCAGGACAUCGAAAAAAGAAAAACUGCACCACUGCUUUUGUCUUUCUGUCCGCAACAUGGCUGGUUAAAAGCAACUAAUUAAAUAAAGUCCAUUGUGAGCCAUGCUGAGACAGCUGCAGCCGUGCGGUCCCACCCAGGCUGCAUAUCUGCUCACAGGGCUGGAUAGCUCAUGUUGCCCUGGCAGCAUGGCCUGGUGGCUGUGCUGGGACAGGGUCCAGUGUCCCCUUCUGGGAAGGGGCCGGGGCUGGCUCCCCAAGGAAAGGGGCCCAGCCAGACCCCUUUUGAGAGCAAGCAGCAAGACAGCUUCCCGCAUUUUUUUGUUCUUAAAUAUGUUAUCAUAGAGGCGUUAUCAGCUUUUUUCUAAUUGGCUUACAAGUGUGCUAAGUCUAAGAGCUAGCCAGCAAUUGAUUUUUGCCAGGCAUGGAGGGAGCUGCUAGCAGCUCCUCACAGAGAACCACUUGGGUGGCUGACUUUUUCCCUCUUCACCACAAAUCAAUUCAUGCCAAACCAGCACAAAAGAGAUUGCCAUCAACUCUCCACUUACUUAGGUUCACUCAAACAAGUCACAUCUGUAAGAAUAAGUGAGUGCUUUAAGAUAAUUGCCUUUUCCCAGGGUAGCUUUGUCUUACUGGAAUCCUCUGAGGCUAAAAGUAAUUAAAUGCACACAGUUUUUUCUUUUUGGUUAGUUAUUUGCUGUCAGUGGAAGGAAAAGGUGCCACUGGAAGGCUGUACUUUCAACAUUUCAAGCUACAGUGCUUGUGAAGUAGUUUUUCAAGAGAAACUAGUCUGUUGUUAGAGAGUGUUUGCGUAGGAGACUGGGAGUGGAGAAUGACAAUUCCUCUGUAAGCACUAAAUGCUCUAUUAGUUUCGAGGACUGUUCAAGGAGAUGCUUAAGAUAAUUGAUGAUUCUAUUCUAAUCCAAGUCUGCAAAUCUGAUUAAACCCAUCAGUUUCUCAUAUUUUGAAUUUACAUCUGCUGUUUUAGAUCCAAUUAGUCACAUCCAGCUGCUUUUUUUUGAAUUGCCUCUCGGUUUUUCAGAAGAAUCAGAAUGAGUUUUAACUAGUGUAUAUUGCAGAGAAGUGAUACAUUUCCUUUAUUGUGAUCAAAGUUGUCCAUAUCCCUUGACCAGAAAGCAUGAGCUGAUAAAUGUUUUACUCCUGUGUUUAUACAAGAACGGAGAUACAAUUCACUUGUCUUGAAGUUACUUAAAGCUUAUCACAAAGAGUAAUGUAGUAACUAGAAGCAUAAUUUUGAAUUGUAACUUUCCAGCUUAUUAAAAAUUUUGACUGGUUUUUUUUCCUGGCAGUUGGUAAAUGUAGCAUGUAGAUCUACCUUGCUAUCUUGACAGCUGAACUGGCAUGUAAAAAAAUUACAAUAAUGUUUAGUCUGUGUAUAGUAACAGUAAAAACAAACAAAAACCCCUCAACAAUAAACUGGGGUAAAUAAACAUGUUUCUGUCUGACAAA